UACGUAGGGGGCAAGCGUUGUCCGGAAUUAUUGGGCGUAAAGCGCGCGCAGGCGGUCAUGUAAGUCUGAUGUGAAAAUCCAAGGCUCAACCUUGGGACUGCAUUGGAAACUGCAUGACUUGAGGGCAGAAGAGGGGAGUGGAAUUCCUAGUGUAGCGGUGAAAUGCGUAGAUAUUAGGAGGAACACCAGUGGCGAAGGCGACUCUCUGGUCUGUUACUGACGCUGAGGCGCGAAAGCGUGGGGAGCAAAC
This 250-nucleotide ribosomal RNA is filed under the name uncultured bacterium. Its description in RNAcentral is "partial 16S ribosomal RNA". It matches the Rfam family "Bacterial small subunit ribosomal RNA", at positions 524 to 773 of the family's 1533-position model. RNAcentral also lists the same sequence under 1 other name. The record is from RNAcentral.